This is a long non-coding RNA of Gallus gallus (chicken), 352 nucleotides long. The record is from Ensembl. NCBI's taxonomy places the organism in Eukaryota, Metazoa, Chordata, Aves, Galliformes, Phasianidae.
GCUCUAUUCUCUUCAUAGAAUGAAGCUGUGAAAGGACCAUAGGAAGAGACAAAACUGGAAAAUUAUAUAUAAUGUCUUGUCCACUAUGUGUUUCUGAAGAUGCCAGACCUUCACAAACCCAUGUGUGCUUCUGCUCGAGUAACUGUACCAACACUGACUUUUUUUUGAACAACAUUACGUACAGAAUUGUGCACACUGGAGGUGGAAAUUAGAUCAGAGGUAAUGGCAACACUCAGAAGGCUGUCCUCGUCUUAGAAGCCUGCAGGUCACUACAAGACAAGCUAGAGUAGAUUUGUGGUAUGUCAGUCAGCUAAUGCACAGUAGCAGCCUAUGGAUGGAGUUGAACCUGGCA